RNAcentral lists this transfer RNA (73 nucleotides) under Camelus bactrianus (Bactrian camel). It matches the Rfam family "tRNA". From Rfam's summary of the family: Transfer RNA (tRNA) molecules are approximately 80 nucleotides in length. RNAcentral also lists the same sequence under 2 other names. The record is from Rfam by way of RNAcentral. Lineage: Eukaryota; Metazoa; Chordata; Mammalia; Artiodactyla; Camelidae.
GUGGGUAUAGGUCAGUGGUAGAGCACAUACUUAGCAUACAUGAAGGUCCUGGGUUCAAGUCCCAGUACCUCCA